GUGUUGGCUUUGGCAGCACCUUCUAAAAUUAGAAUGACACAGACAAGAUUAACACGUCUCCUGCAUAUAGAUUACACAAAAUUUUGUGAAGCAUUUCAUAUUUUA
This is a small nuclear RNA of Pan paniscus (pygmy chimpanzee), 105 nucleotides long. Lineage: Eukaryota; Metazoa; Chordata; Mammalia; Primates; Hominidae. The record is from Ensembl.